AACGUAGGAGGCAAGCGUUAUCCGGAAUUACUGGGCGUAAAGGGCGUCUAGGCGGUAUGGCAAGCAGGAUGUGAAAGCUCCUGGCUCAACUGGGAGAGUGCGUUCCGAACUGCCGAACUAGAGGCCAGGCGAUGGGGGUGGAAUUCCCGGUGGAGUGGUGAAAUGCGUAGAUAUCUGGAGGAACACCGGUGGCGAAGGCGGCAUCCUGGACCGGUAUUGACGCUGAGGCGCGAAAGCCAGGGGAGCAAACGGG
Molecule: ribosomal RNA, 253 nt
Filed under: uncultured bacterium
Lineage: Bacteria
Description: partial 16S ribosomal RNA
Rfam family: Bacterial small subunit ribosomal RNA
Source: RNAcentral